GGGGCAGUAGCUCAGUAGUAGAGCUCGCGCCUUGUACGUGAGAAGACCUGCGUUCGAAUCCCGGCUGCUUGC
Toxocara canis (dog roundworm) is the source of this 72-nucleotide transfer RNA. It matches the Rfam family "tRNA". Rfam says of the family: Transfer RNA (tRNA) molecules are approximately 80 nucleotides in length. The record is from Rfam. NCBI's taxonomy places the organism in Eukaryota, Metazoa, Nematoda, Chromadorea, Rhabditida, Toxocaridae.